AACGAACGCUGGCGGCAUGCCUAACACAUGCAAGUCGAACGGGACCUUCGGGUCUAGUGGCGCACGGGUGCGUAACGCGUGGGAACCUGCCCUUAGGUUCGGGAGAACGUCCCGAAAGGGGUGCUAAUACCGGAUAAUGUCUUCGGACCAAAGAUUUAUCGCCUUUGGAUGGGCUCGCGUUGGAUUAGCUAGUUGGUAGGGUAAAAGCGUACCAAGGCGACGAUCCAUAGAUGGUCUGAGAGGCAGAUCCGCCACACUGGGACUGAGACACGGCCCAGACUCCUACGGGAGGCAGCAGUGGGGAAUAUUGGACAAUGGGCGGAAGCCUGAUCCAGCAAUGCCGCGUGAGUGAUGAAGGCCUUAGGGUUGUAAAGCUCGUUUACCCGGGAUGAUAAUGACAGUACCGGGAGAAUAAGCUCCGGCUAACUCCGUG
RNAcentral lists this ribosomal RNA (433 nucleotides) under uncultured bacterium. Its description in RNAcentral is "partial 16S ribosomal RNA". It matches the Rfam family "Bacterial small subunit ribosomal RNA", at positions 29 to 507 of the family's 1533-position model. The record is from RNAcentral.